Bos taurus (domestic cattle) is the source of this 72-nucleotide non-coding RNA. NCBI's taxonomy places the organism in Eukaryota, Metazoa, Chordata, Mammalia, Artiodactyla, Bovidae. The record is from Rfam.
UCCCUGGUGGCUCAGAUGGUAAAGCAUCUACCUGUAAUGCAGGAGACCUGGGUUUGAUCCCUGGGUUGGGAA